GCCUACGGCUAUGCCACCCUGAACAAGCCCGAUCCCCUCUGACCUUGGAAGCUAAGCAGGGUCGGGCCUGGUUAGUACUUGAAUGGGAGACUACCUAGGAAGACCAGGUGCUGUAGGCA
This 119-nucleotide ribosomal RNA is filed under the name Pteropus alecto (black flying fox). The record is from RNAcentral. Lineage: Eukaryota; Metazoa; Chordata; Mammalia; Chiroptera; Pteropodidae.